This is a long non-coding RNA of Chinchilla lanigera (long-tailed chinchilla), 2722 nucleotides long. The record is from Ensembl. Lineage: Eukaryota; Metazoa; Chordata; Mammalia; Rodentia; Chinchillidae.
GUUCAUUUAUGAAACAAACAGCCUCAAGUCACUGGGCCUCAUUCCCAGUCCCCAGCUUGAAUCCCGUAAUGGAAAGAAAAGAAGGAUUGGAGCAUUAACACAAUUGGAAGUUGAAAUUGUCACACCAUCAUGGAGACUACGUUACUGACGGGCCAUAGGGGACCCUUAUUUAGGCAUUUUUGGUAUCCCACGAAAAGUACCUUGAGGUUACCGCAGCCUGAAGAGGUCAAUGAACUUUUUUGUUUUUCCAUACGAGGCGUUGAACCUAGGCCCUCAUGCAUGAUAGACAGGCACUGCAGCACUUAUCAUCAUCUGCUCUCAGGACUUUGGUAUUUGCUGAGACUGCAAAGGUGAAAGUACCUGUCACGGCCAUCAGCAUGUUCAUUCCCUGGCAUACAGGAGUAGCUCUGUCUCCACUGCUGUGUGAUAUUGAGGAAAUGCAUACCACACCCGCUGGUAAAGUUUUGUAUAAGAAGAAAAUUACUAACAUUAGUAAAGCCUCAUACAUACCAGGUGCUCAACAAUUUUAGUUCUCUUCCCCUUUCACUUUUUAUGUAUUUCCUCUCCCUCCCCCUCCUCCUGCCUCAAUCUUAUUGUUUGUUUUUCAUGGGUUUUUUAUUUUUUUUUUUAUUUUUUGGUACCGGGAAUCAAACUCAUGAUCUCAGGUUUGCCAGGCAAGCGCUUAAGCCACUGAGCUAUUCCCUCGGCCCUUUUUUGUCUUUUUUUGAGACAGGGUCUCACUGUGCAGUUCAGGCUAGCCUUGAGCUCACAUUUUAGCCCAGGCUGGUCUUGAACUUGCAACCAUCCUCCUGCCUCAGCCUCCCGAAGGCUGGGAUUACAGGUCUGCACCACCACGCCUGGCUUUUUUUUUUUUUUUUUUUCCAGUACCAGAAAUCGAACUUAUGACCUUGCGCUUGACAGGCAGGCACUGUGCCACUGAGCUAAAUCCCCAGCCUCUUUUUCUGUCUUUUUUGAGACAGGGUCUCAUUCUGCAGUUCAGGCUGGCCUUGAGCUUACUUUGUAGCCGAGGCUGGCCUCCAACUCCUCUAAUGAUCCUCCUGCCUCAGCCUCCCGAGUGCUGGGAUUACAGGCAUGCCCCACCAUGCCCAGCCUCCACCUUUUUUAUAAUUCAUUAGAAUCAGGGAUUUGUCUGCCCUUCAUUAUACCCCUAGUGCCACAUGACCUUUAUACAUAGUAAGAAUUUCAGUUUAUUUACUUGUUGUGAAUCUUUGAGCCUCUACAGUGGACAAAAACUUAGCAUUGAGAGAGAACAGGCACUUUUGGGAAUUCUGAGUAACUGAAUGUGAUCAAAGCAGAAGCUUUGAGAAGGAAACGAUGAGAAAGAAGGCUAGUGUGGUUGAUCUGGAUUAGUUUUCAAAAGCUUUGUAGAUCUUAUAAGAAUUUUUUUUUUUUGUAUCAGGAAUGGAAUUCACAACCUUGUGCUUGACAGACAGACUCUGUGCCACUGAGCUACAUGCCUGACCCCUCUUACAAGAAUUUUGGACUUCGUCCUGUAAAUCAGAGGAUUGCUACUGAACCAAGAAAUAUCAGGAACUUUUAUUUUAGAAUGAUUUGUUCUAAAUCAUUCUGGCGUGGUGGCGCACGCCUGUAAUCCCAGCACUCGGGAGGCCGAGGCAGGAAGAUUGUUGUGGGUUCGGAGCCAGCCUGGGCUACAAAGUGAGCUCAAGGCCGGCCUGAACUCAUAGUGAGACCCUGUCUCAAAAAGACACCCCCCCCAAAAAAAAAAGAAAAGAGAGAAGCUUGGCCAGGCAUAUAGUUCAGUGACACAGUGUCUUCCUGGAAAGCACGAGGUCCUGAAUUUGAGUCCCAGUACCAAAAAAAAAAAAAAAAAAAAAAAAAAAAAAAAAAGAAGCACAUUAAAACGCAGCUUCCAGUCAUACUGCCAAGGGGUCCAAGGCUUUUAUUUACUCAUUUAUGUAUUUAUGUCACGCCUGUUUGCAGUAUAUCACAGUUACAUUUGUUUAGGGGGUUCGUACGUUUAUAGCACAUUCUUAAUCAUUUCUAAUCCCUUUAUACCCUACUGCCCCCACCCUUGCCGCACUUUUGACCAAGAUUCAUCUUUAAACCAGCAUUGUAGGUGAUGAUUCACUAGGCACCAAGAAAGUAUUUUAAAGCAAGAAAAGCAAUGCUGUGCUUGGUGGCUCAGGCCUGUAAUCCCAGCACUUUGACAGGCUGAAGUAGGAGUAUUCCAAGUUGGAGCCCAGCCUAGGCAACUUGGCAAUUUAAUGAAAUCCUGUCUCAAAAUAAAAUAAAGCAUAUAAAAGGGCUUGGAUGUAGCUCAGUGGGAAGACUUUGGGUUCAGUGCCCCGUACCAUACAUGCACAGUAACCAGUUAGGUGGGCAGUGACCUAACUCUGGGGAGAGCUGAUCUGGUCCAGAUCAAAUAAGGCUUCCCCUACCUCCUCUGAUCAAUCUGCCUGCCUUGGCCUUUCUUUUUUUUUCCAGUACUGGGUAUCGAACUCACAACCUUGUGCUUGCCAGGCAGGCCCUGGUGCCGCUGAGCUAUAUCCCCAGCCCUAGAUAUACAGAUUUGCAAAUCAUUAACUAAUAGACAGUAAUGGAAAUGGCUGAAAUCAUCCCAGGAGAGGAAAUAUAGAACAGUCUAGAACAAAACCUUGGCCGGGUAUAUAGCUCAGUUGUACAAGGGCCUGCCUGGCAAGCACAAGGUCCUGAGUUCGAUUUCCCGUACCACACCAAAAAA